Molecule: ribosomal RNA, 1345 nt
Filed under: uncultured bacterium
Lineage: Bacteria
Description: partial 16S ribosomal RNA
Rfam family: Bacterial small subunit ribosomal RNA
Source: RNAcentral
GACGAACGCUGGCGGCGUGCUUAACACAUGCAAGUCGAACGGAAAGGCCCUGCUUUUGUGGGGUGCUCGAGUGGCGAACGGGUGAGUAACACGUGAGUAACCUGCCCUUGACUUUGGGAUAACUUCAGGAAACUGGGGCUAAUACCGGAUAGGAGCUCCUGCUGCAUGGUGGGGGUUGGAAAGUUUCGGCGGUUGGGGAUGGACUCGCGGCUUAUCAGCUUGUUGGUGGGGUAGUGGCUUACCAAGGCUUUGACGGGUAGCCGGCCUGAGAGGGUGACCGGCCACAUUGGGACUGAGAUACGGCCCAGACUCCUACGGGAGGCAGCAGUGGGGAAUAUUGCACAAUGGGCGGAAGCCUGAUGCAGCAACGCCGCGUGCGGGAUGACGGCCUUCGGGUUGUAAACCGCUUUCGCCUGUGACGAAGCGUGAGUGACGGUAAUGGGUAAAGAAGCACCGGCUAACUACGUGCCAGCAGCCGCGGUGAUACGUAGGGUGCGAGCGUUGUCCGGAUUUAUUGGGCGUAAAGGGCUCGUAGGUGGUUGAUCGCGUCGGAAGUGUAAUCUUGGGGCUUAACCCUGAGCGUGCUUUCGAUACGGGUUGACUUGAGGAAGGUAGGGGAGAAUGGAAUUCCUGGUGGAGCGGUGGAAUGCGCAGAUAUCAGGAGGAACACCAGUGGCGAAGGCGGUUCUCUGGCCUUUCCUGACGCUGAGGAGCGAAAGCGUGGGGAGCGAACAGGCUUAGAUACCCUGGUAGUCCACGCUGUAAACGGUGGGUACUAGGUGUGGGGUCCAUUCCACGGGUUCCGUGCCGUAGCUAACGCUUUAAGUACCCCGCCUGGGGAGUACGGCCGCAAGGCUAAAACUCAAAGGAAUUGACGGGGCCCCGCACAAGCGGCGGAGCAUGCGGAUUAAUUCGAUGCAACGCGUAGAACCUUACCUGGGUUUGACAUGGAUCGGGAGUGCUCAGAGAUGGGUGUGCCUCUUUUGGGGUCGGUUCACAGGUGGUGCAUGGCUGUCGUCAGCUCGUGUCGUGAGAUGUUGGGUUAAGUCCCGCAACGAGCGCAACCCUUGUUCACUGUUGCCAGCACGUUAUGGUGGGGACUCAGUGGAGACCGCCGGGGCCAACUCGGAGGAAGGUGGGGAUGACGUCAAGUCAUCAUGCCCCUUAUGUCCAGGGCUUCACGCAUGCUACAAUGGCUGGUACAGAGAGUGGCGAGCCUGUGAGGGUGAGCGAAUCUCGGAAAGCCGGUCUCAGUUCGGAUUGGGGUCUGCAACUCGACCUCAUGAAGUCGGAGUCGCUAGUAAUCGCAGAUCGGCAACGCUGCGGUGAAUACGUUCCCGGGGCU